ACGUAAUGUGACAUGCCCGUUGGGGUUUUACUCUGAUUUUGUUGAAAUAUAAUAUUUUAUAUGAUUUUGGGAAACGGGGUGUUACAAUUGG
Medicago truncatula (barrel medic) is the source of this 91-nucleotide microRNA precursor. It matches the Rfam family "MIR2617 microRNA precursor family". NCBI's taxonomy places the organism in Eukaryota, Viridiplantae, Streptophyta, Magnoliopsida, Fabales, Fabaceae. The record is from Rfam.